AUGACAAAUAUCAGUAUAUAUAAAAGUAGAAAACUCAGUCUUCACGAGCAGCUCAUAGAACACAGACGAUCUGUUUGGAUCUCACUUGGAUCUAUUUACUUCCUGAGACCAUUUGAAUGGUUUUAAAAUACAAAAAAAAUGUUAAUGGCGUUGGAAAAAGUAUAAUUUUAACAAGGUGGAAGAACGUGUUAUAUUUUGAAUAAACUUGAGUACAAAGAGUAGAGUUAUAAACCAAGAAAAUGAAGAGCGGAUAGAAAAGAGGACGUACAAAUGCUGAUUUUGGACAUCUUUCAACAAGGAACCCGAACAUUUCGGUGAAAUUUUAGAGUAAGACUAUCUAAUAGGAAAACUACGUUAUUUCAACAUAUAAUUAGUAGAUAGAAAAUAUUUUUUUCUUGCUUUUUACCAUUUGAUACUGAAGCACUUAUGUAAUAUAAACCUGAUCAAAUUAGACCUAUUCCAUAAUAAUAACAUUUUAUAAUAAAUAAUGAUUUCGUUCUUAUUCUAAAUUCAUAAAUAUCUAGUGGUCCAUAGAUGAAAGUGUAAAUGAUAAAGGAAAAAAGAUAAUGUACAAAUAUUUUUCUUUGAUUA
This is a long non-coding RNA of Bombus huntii, 591 nucleotides long. RefSeq lists it as uncharacterized. The transcript has 2 exons. NCBI's taxonomy places the organism in Eukaryota, Metazoa, Arthropoda, Insecta, Hymenoptera, Apidae. The record is from RefSeq and is a predicted model, not a curated record.